RNAcentral lists this non-coding RNA (30 nucleotides) under Cricetulus griseus (Chinese hamster). The record is from RNAcentral. Lineage: Eukaryota; Metazoa; Chordata; Mammalia; Rodentia; Cricetidae.
GCGCUCGGGUCUGGCGCGAUCGGUCGGUGC